GACGAACGCUGGCGGCGUGCCUAAUACAUGCAAGUAGAACGCUGAAGGAGGAGCUUGCUCUUCUGGAUGAGUUGCGAACGGGUGAGUAACGCGUAGGUAACCUGCCUGGUAGCGGGGGAUAACUAUUGGAAACGAUAGCUAAUACCGCAUAACAGUAGAUGUUGCAUGACAUUUGCUUAAAAGGUGCAAUUGCACCACUACCAGAUGGACCUGCGUUGUAUUAGCUAGUUGGUGGGGUAACGGCUCACCAAGGCGACGAUACAUAGCCGACCUGAGAGGGUGAUCGGCCACACUGGGACUGAGACACGGCCCAGACUCCUACGGGAGGCAGCAGUAGGGAAUCUUCGGCAAUGGACGGAAGUCUGACCGAGCAACGCCGCGUGAGUGAAGAAGGGUUUCGGAUCGUAAAGCUCUGUUGUAAGAGAAGAACGAGUGUGAGAGUGGAAAGUUCACACUGUGACGGUAUCUUACCAGAAAGAGACGGCUAACUACGUG
Molecule: ribosomal RNA, 495 nt
Filed under: uncultured bacterium
Lineage: Bacteria
Description: partial 16S ribosomal RNA
Rfam family: Bacterial small subunit ribosomal RNA
Source: RNAcentral